Molecule: ribosomal RNA, 253 nt
Filed under: uncultured prokaryote
Description: partial 16S ribosomal RNA
Rfam family: Bacterial small subunit ribosomal RNA
Source: RNAcentral
UACGGAGGGUGCGAGCGUUAAUCGGAAUUACUGGGCGUAAAGCGUGCGUAGGUGGCUUGGUCAGUCGGAUGUGAAAGCCCUGGGCUCAACCUGGGAACUGCAUUCGAUACUGCCUGGCUAGAGUAUGGUAGAGGGAAGUGGAAUUUCCGGUGUAGCGGUGAAAUGCGUAGAUAUCGGAAGGAACACCAGUGGCGAAGGCGGCUUCCUGGACCAAUACUGACACUGAGGUACGAAAGCGUGGGGAGCAAACAGG